This 253-nucleotide ribosomal RNA is filed under the name uncultured bacterium. RNAcentral describes it as "partial 16S ribosomal RNA". It matches the Rfam family "Bacterial small subunit ribosomal RNA", at positions 524 to 776 of the family's 1533-position model. The record is from RNAcentral.
UACGUAGGGGGCAAGCGUUGUCCGGAUUUAUUGGGCGUAAAGAGCGUGUAGGCGGCCAGGUAGGUCCGUUGUGAAAACUAGAGGCUUAACCUCUAGACGUCGAUGGAAACCAUCUGGCUAGAGUCCGGAAGAGGAGAGUGGAAUUCCUGGUGUAGCGGUGAAAUGCGCAGAUAUCAGGAAGAACACCGACGGCGAAGGCAGCUCGCUGGGACGGUACUGACGCUGAGGCGCGAAAGCGUGGGGAGCGAACAGG